Molecule: ribosomal RNA, 492 nt
Filed under: uncultured bacterium
Lineage: Bacteria
Description: partial 16S ribosomal RNA
Rfam family: Bacterial small subunit ribosomal RNA
Source: RNAcentral
AGUGAACGCUGGCGGUAGACCUAACACAUGCAAGUCGAACGGCAGCACAGUAAGAGCUUGCUCUUACGGGUGGCGAGUGGCGGACGGGUGAGGAAUACAUCGGAAUCUACUUUUUCGUGGGGGAUAACGUAGGGAAACUUACGCUAAUACCGCAUACGACCUACGGGUGAAAGCAGGGGAUCUUCGGACCUUGCGCGAUUGAAUGAGCCGAUGUCGGAUUAGCUAGUUGGCGGGGUAAAGGCCCACCAAGGCGACGAUCCGUAACUGGUCUGAGAGGAUGAUCAGCCACACUGGAACUGAGACACGGUCCAGACUCCUACGGGAGGCAGCAGUGGGGAAUAUUGGACAAUGGGCGCAAGCCUGAUCCAGCCAUACCGCGUGGGUGAAGAAGGCCUUCGGGUUGUAAAGCCCUUUUGUUGGGAAAGAAAAGCAGCAGGUUAAUACCCCGCUGUUCUGACGGUACCCAAAGAAUAAGCACCGGCUAACUUCGUG